AUUCGUUCAUUUACGGCACAUUAAGCUUUCGGGUUUAUGACCAGACUGUCCUUGUUUGGACACCGAGUGGCUCCUGUCCACUCUGUUUGACGCCUCCCUGUUAUCAACUUUCAAAAGCCGCCGGUUUCCGGCGGCUCUUUUUUU
Non-coding RNA from Afipia sp. 1NLS2, 144 nucleotides. The record is from Rfam. Lineage: Bacteria; Pseudomonadati; Pseudomonadota; Alphaproteobacteria; Hyphomicrobiales; Nitrobacteraceae.